Molecule: long non-coding RNA, 2798 nt
Organism: Neodiprion fabricii
Lineage: Eukaryota; Metazoa; Arthropoda; Insecta; Hymenoptera; Diprionidae
Exons: 2
Source: RefSeq, a predicted model, not a curated record
UAAAUAAAUUAUAUUAGGCAAUUGACAAUAAGAAGAAGAAAAUUGGAAUGAAGCAGAGGAAAAAUGAGGAGAGUAAAGUGAAAACUAAAAUUAGAAAGAAGAAGAAUCGUUUCUACUUGGAAUAGACGAGGAAAAAUUAAUUGGCAAGAAAUGAAAAGUGAAACGUAGGAAAAUGUGCAUAGUGCGAAUAAGCCAUAUAACGUCGUAAAAUUGUGCGAGAUAAAUCUUUGAUUAAGGGGCCGUGAAAUUGGGUCGAAUCACGUAUCCAUAAAUCUUUCUGAGGACAGGUAGUUUAUAUGUUUAAAUAUUAGGCCGAGGUGAAGCUGCUGAUCCGUAUAUUACCGUCGUAAUUUGAAGAAAAUUUGGUCGAUAAAUUAUGCCGCCUAUAAAUUCUCUCAUCCCAAAAGAGGGCAAAAUUACUCCAUCUCAGUGUAAUAUCAUUAUUUUUAUAAAUUCUACCAUUUUUUCCGUCAUGAUUUUUUUCUGUUUUUUUUUUUUUUUUACAAAAAUGUCAUUCAAACCUUACGGUCUAAAGAUAUUAAUAAUCAGUCUUGUUAUUAGUUUAAUUAUGUUAAUUCUGUUCAUUUUUGCGUAUUACGGAUAUUUUUUUAACACUCGCAAAAUUGAAAAUUGACGUAUGCAAUCCUUAACCAAACAAAACGAAAUUAAAAUCAAAGCAAAGUAUGGAUUAAAACAUUUUAUAACAUCAACGUAAGAGAUUGAUAGCGAAAUUUUGUUGGCUGGCUUUCGCGACGAUAGAGAAUAAUAACGACGUACAAAAAAAAUGUAAUCACAAAAUGUUUGAUUCACCUGCGUGACGUGCGAUUUUUAUCAAUGAUAUAUGAUACUGAGAUUGCGGUGUGAAAAUUCACGUUUUUUUUUCAACAAAAUGAAUAUUGAAAGAAGAAGCAAAACUGACAAAAUAGAAAUACCGAAGGGGAGAUAGGUUUGAAAUUCAUUAACGAAGAUUGAUUAACACUUCGCAAUGUAUCCUUUUAACAUUUCACAAAUUGGUUUGGGCUUUCGAAGAAUGUAAGAAAAAAGUAUUCUAACUCGAUUGGAAAAAAAAAAAAAUCACGCGCUAGCAAAAUUUUCUUCGAAAUUUAUAAAACUUGCGCCUUGUAUCACAAAAUACGUAAAAACAAAACAAAUGAUUACGUUCCGUGAAAUAAAACUCACAUUAACUCGAAAACGAGAACAAUCAAUAAAUGAAACACCAUUGGUUAAACUGCUGAUUAAAAAUUGAAUAUCUCAUCUUUGUUGUUAAUAACUAGCGAUAUUUUUUAUCUUGUUAUUUUUCAAUUUCUAUUCUUUUUUAUCAUUAAUAGGGUAAAAAUUUAUCGACAAAAUUUUCGCAAGAGCAUCGGUGCGAUAAAUCAAAUUCUAUAUAGAACCCGCGGUAAAUUAGCUUUACAUAUAUUUAGAUAUGAAUAUACACAGAACGAAUUCGUAACGACUGCAUAUUCCCUCGUCUCGUGAAACUUAAUGCGCAUGCGCUACGAUCCGAGAGCGACUGUUCGCCAGGGCGACCAACCGUCAUAAAUUUAGACGACAGUUCGCCCCGAUUUAUGUUACCACAAAAAUUUUGCCAGUUGUCGGUUGCGCUCAACUCAUUACUGUCAAAUUUUUGACGUUACGUAUAUGGCGGUGAACUAUCGUUUGUGACAGUUAUUCACCCUGGCAAAUAGCUGCUCUGGAGUUCUAUUGCGUGCGUACUAAAUCGAACAGUUGACGGAACGUUCCAAUCGUUGAGGAUUCACUCUGUAUACCUGUUAUACAUGUAAUACAGUGUGAAAAUUUAGAAAUGAGUGCACAAUCAUUACAUGUAACUCGCGACCUAAUUGUUUUCCAACCCUGCAAAUCAUUGCGAUAAUUUUUUGAUUUCUGACUUAUUUUUCAUAAAUAAGGAGAAAUUUUGUCAUGAAUCGAAGAGAAACGAUACUACCAAACGGAAGUCAUUCAUGGCAACGAUGUAAAUAUACAACACAUUUAUUAUACUGGGUUAUUUCCGUGAAGCGUUCCGUAACGACUCCUAGUUCCAGGCAAUUCGGGAUACACAUACACUCUGGCAAUGAGUAUACUCUGUUCUACGAGAGAACGACACAACGUCACGCAGGUUCGGGAUAGCGAAGCUCACUCGCAAUCAGUAUCGUAUCCAGAAUAUCGUGCAUUUGUCCCCUACGCCAAAAGUCCACGCUCUGUGAAAGACCUAACAGGUGAAAUAACGUGAACACAGCGGUCUCAUUACAUCGCGAAUAAAUUUAUUCCACUUCUUCGUCAAUAUGUAUUUAUCGAACAGAAUAACAAAGCCACAAUUCAAAAUUGACAAUUCCGAACACACUCGCAACGUUGCUGACGAUUGACGCUCCACGGUUUGAAUUGAUUUGAAAUUAACCGUUAGGUUAGGAAUCAAUCGUUAGGUUUAAAAUGAAUCGUUAGGUUUGAAUUUAGCAAUUAGGUUUGAGUACCUGGGUACCCUUGUCGGCUAUACUCGGGUCUGGUCGGCUGCGAGACCAGUUCGGUUACCUGGAGAGGGUAAAGUGGGCGGAGCAUCGAACUGGAUCUAACCACACCGAACGCGUUUGGCUUGGUAAGCGUGUCGAUCUCUCGUGGAACAGAGUUACAGAGCUUCAAGUUUCACAAGGGAGACAUAAGCUGCGCGCUAGCAGAAGACCGAUGGCCAAAGUCAACCGGUGAAACUCGAAGCUCUGCUCAGAAUGUACGUGUAUCCUUGGGGUGGUUCUUAUUUGCCCGAUGUUCGAAUUUCAAUUGUGCCGCCCCCUCGUUUGCUUCUAAAU